AUUGAACGCUGGCGGCAUGCCUUACACAUGCAAGUCGAACGGUAACAGGUCUUCGGAUGCUGACGAGUGGCGAACGGGUGAGUAAUACAUCGGAACGUGCCCAGACGUGGGGGAUAACGAGGCGAAAGCUUUGCUAAUACCGCAUACGAUCUAAGGAUGAAAGCAGGGGACCGCAAGGCCUUGUGCGUUUUGAGCGGCCGAUGGCAGAUUAGGUAGUUGGUGGGAUAAAAGCUUACCAAGCCGACGAUCUGUAGCUGGUCUGAGAGGACGACCAGCCACACUGGGACUGAGACACGGCCCAGACUCCUACGGGAGGCAGCAGUGGGGAAUUUUGGACAAUGGGCGAAAGCCUGAUCCAGCAAUGCCGCGUGCAGGAUGAAGGCCUUCGGGUUGUAAACUGCUUUUGUACGGAACGAAAAGGCUCUGGCUAAUACCUGGGGCACAUGACGGUACCGUAAGAAUAAGCACCGGCUAACUACGUG
This 482-nucleotide ribosomal RNA is filed under the name uncultured bacterium. RNAcentral's name for it is "partial 16S ribosomal RNA". It matches the Rfam family "Bacterial small subunit ribosomal RNA", at positions 30 to 507 of the family's 1533-position model. The record is from RNAcentral.